RNAcentral lists this ribosomal RNA (347 nucleotides) under uncultured bacterium. RNAcentral's name for it is "partial 16S ribosomal RNA". It matches the Rfam family "Bacterial small subunit ribosomal RNA", at positions 338 to 682 of the family's 1533-position model. The record is from RNAcentral.
CCUACGGGCGGCAGCAGUGAGGAAUAUUGGUCAAUGGACGAGAGUCUGAACCAGCCAAGUAGCGUGAAGGAUGACGGCCCUAUGGGUUGUAAACUUCUUUUAUAGGGGAAUAAAAUGUGCCACGUGUGGGAGGUUGUAUGUACCAUAUGAAUAAGGAUCGACUAACUCCGUGCCAGCAGCCGCGGUAAUACGGAGGAUCCGAGCGUUAUCCGGAUUUAUUGGGUUGAAAGGGAGAGUAGGUGGAUUGUUAAGUCAGUUGUGAAAGUGUGCGGCUCAACCGUAAAAUUGCAGUUGAAACUGGCAGUCUUGAGUACAGUAGCGGUGGGCGGCCUUCGUGGUGUAGCGGU